AAUAAAGUGCCUGAAUUAAAGGAUUAUCUUGAUAGGAUAAAAAAUGUAAUUUUAUUACCUUUAUUA
This 66-nucleotide transfer RNA is filed under the name Rapisma xizangense. RNAcentral describes it as "tRNA-Ile". The record is from RNAcentral. Lineage: Eukaryota; Metazoa; Arthropoda; Insecta; Neuroptera; Rapismatidae. RNAcentral also lists the same sequence under 2 other names.